CAUGUUGCUUGAUUUUGGGAAGAACAUACAGAGGAAACGUACAUCUAGGACAUUUGUGAGAGCUAGUUAAAAUGUAAUGAAAAAAAUUCAAUAUAUAGCAAAACAUUUUAUAUAUGUACCUUUUUUUCAAUAUCUCUUUUUUGCUCUCACAUCAAUUACUUCAUUUCUGAAAGUGGUGCUUUAAGCUCCUUAAGCAUAUCAAUCUGGUGCAUAUUUUUCUACAACCAUCAAGUUUGGUUCUGCUGUAACAUGAUGCAGCGUGGAUGGAGUUAUGAUGUGUUUCUGAGUUUCAGAGGUGAAGACACCAGGAGAACCUUCACAGGCUCUCUUUAUCAUGGUUUGCGCCAAAGGGGUAUCAAUGUUUUCAUAGAUGAUGAGGAGCUUAGGAGAGGAGAAGAGAUAUCCCUAGCUCUUCUUCAAGCAAUUGAAGAAUCCAGAAUUUCCAUCAUUGUGUUUUCUGAAAACUAUGCAAAUUCCAAAUGGUGCCUUGACGAGCUUGUUAAGAUCCUUGAGUGUUGGAAAACAAAGGGGCAAUUGGUUUGGCCAGUUUUCUACCAUGUUGACCCUUCCUCGGUACGGCAUCAGAGAGAAAGUUUUGGUACUGCAAUGGCUGAACAUGAAGUCAGGUUCAAGGCUGAUUUGGGAAAGUUGCAAAAGUGGAAAGAAGCUUUGUUUGAUGCAGCCAAUUUGUCAGGUUGGAGCUUAAAUAAUGGGUAUGAAUUUGAGCUUAUCCAAAGGAUCAUUGAAGAGGUCUCUAACAAAUUAAAUCACACCCUUUUGCAUAUUGCUGAAUACCCAAUUGGACUAGAGACUCGCAUAUCAGAAGUGAAGUCACUUUUGCACAUUGAACCUGGUGAAGAUAUUCUUGUCAUUGGAAUCCAUGGACUUGGAGGAAUUGGCAAAACAACAACAGCAAGGGCUUUAUACAACUCCAUUGCUGAUGAGUUUGAAGUUGCAAGUUUCCUUGCUGAUAUAAGAGAAACUUCAGACCAACGCCAAGGCUUGGUGCAACUUCAAGAAGCACUUCUUUUUGAUACUGUCGGGGACAAGAACAUUAAGCUGGGGUAUGUUUAUAAAGGAAUCCCCAUUAUAAAGAAAAGGUUAUGUCGCAAGAAAGUGCUUUUGAUUCUUGAUGAUGUUGACAAAUUGGAGCAGCUGCAAGCAUUGGCCGGAGGGCGUGAUUGGUUUGGUCUUGGCAGUGUGAUAAUCAUAACAACAAGAGAUAAGCACUUGCUAGCUGCUCAUCAAGUUGACAAAACAUAUGAAAUAAAGAAACUAAACCAUGCUGAAGCUUUUGAGCUUUUUACAUGGAAUGCUUUCAAAAGGACAGCACCUGAUGAGGGCUACAUGGAGAUUUCAAACCGGGUGGUGCUCUAUGCUGAGGGACAUCCAUUGGCUUUGAAAGUAAUGGGGUGUAAUUUGUUUGGUAAAACAGUGGAACAAUGGAAAUCUGCUCUGGACAAAUAUGAAAAAAUUCCCAAUAAAGAGGUUCAGAGUGUGCUUAGAGUAACCUAUGAUAAUCUAGAAGAGAAUGAGAAGGAAAUUUUCUUGGAUAUUGCAUGUUUCUUCAAGGGGGAGACAAUGGAAUAUGUUGAAAAGACACUGCAAGCUUGUGGUUUCUAUCCAAAAUUUGGUGUUAGUGUACUUAUUGAUAGAUCUCUUGUAAGUGUUGAUGAAUAUAGCAGAUUGAGAAUGCAUGAUCUGAUACAAGACAUGGGUAGAGAAAUUGUUAGAGAAGAUUCCCCAUUAGAGCCUGGAAAGCGGAGUAGACUAUGGUAUCAUGAAGAUGUUUUUGAAGUACUCACUGAAAAUACGGGGACUUAUAAAAUUCAAGGCAUGAUGGUGGACCUCCCUGAUCAAUAUAUGGUACACUUGGAAGGUGAUUCCUUCAAAAGGAUGAAAAAUCUAAAAAUUCUUAUCGUUCGAAAUGGACACUUUUAUGGAAGCCCCCAACAUCUUCCAAACAAUUUAAGGUUGCUUGACUGGAUGGAAUAUCCUUCAUCAUCUUUACCAUCAAGUUUUCUUCCAAAGAAACUAGUAGUACUCAACUUGUCUCGUAGUCGUUUCACAAUGCAGGAGCCAUUCAAGUAUUUGGAUUCUUUGACCUCGAUGGAUUUGAGUCACUGUGAGUUCUUAACAAAGCUACCUGACAUUUCUGGUGUCCCAAAUUUAACAGAACUGAAUCUUGACUUUUGUACAAAUUUAGCAGAAGUUCAUGAUUCUGUUGGAUUCCUAGACAAACUUGUUGAGUUGAGGGCUUAUGGAUGCACCAAACUUGAGGUUUUCCCAAGUUCCAUCAGGUUGACAUCACUGAGAAGUCUUAUUCUUAAUUGGUGCUCAAGUCUUCAAAGUUUCCCAACAAUUUUGGGAAAAAUGGACAAUCUCAUAUCCGUUUCUAUUGAAGGUACUGGUAUAAAAGAAUUGCCUCCUUCCAUUGGAAAUCUUGUUGGGCUUGAAGAAUUAAGCAUGACAUCUUGCUCAAGUCUCAAGGAACUUCCUGACAACAUUGAUAUGUUACAAAAUCUUAGAAACCUUGACAUUGAAGGCUGUCCAAGUUUUUUGACAAAAUUGAGAGAAUUGGGACACUCUACCCUUACCUUUGGUAACAUUCAGUCUCUGAAUCUAGAAAACUGUGGCCUUAUAGAUGAGGAUCUUCCCAUAAUUUUCAGUUGUUUCCCAAAGUUAGCAUCAUUAGUUCUUUCAGGAAAUAAUUUUACAGCUCUUCCAAGCUGCAUGGCAGAAUUUCCUGGCUUGGAAUUACUUCACUUGGACAACUGCAAACAACUCCAAGAAAUUCCAGGCAUUCCUCCCAAUUUACAAUACAUUAAUGCAAGAAACUGCAUAUCAUUGACAGCAGAGUCAUCAAAUUUGUUACUAAGCCAGGAAAUGUUUGAGGCAUGUCAGUUACAAGUUAUGGUCCCUGGAACACGAAUUCCAGAAUGGUUUGAUCACAUCACCAAAGGAGAAUAUAUGACCUUUUGGGUAGGCCAAAAUUUUCCAGCACUGAUAAUAUGCUUUGUUCUUGCAAUAGAGAGUGAAAUGAAGAAGAGCUUCAAUUGCGAAAUCCGCUUUUAUAUAAACAGUGAAGAAGUUUAUGAGUUGGAAAUGCCAAGAUGCUUUUCAGGAAUGGUGACAGAUCAUGUAUGGGUGUAUGACUUAAGAACUCAUCCAUCCAUCCAGAGGCAUCAUCUUGAUUCAUAUUUAGUGGAAGGUUGGAAUCAGGUGGAGAUUUCAUGUGAGAAAAUAAGUGGAGCAUCAAAUGUGACUGUGAGCUUGUGUGGAGUUCAUGUGUGUAAGGAUGAAGCUAACAUGAAGGAUAUCCUAUUUAAAGAUCCUGAUCCUGAUUCAGACUUAAGCAGAGACUCUGAGGAGAUCAGUACUGAUUUGGUCACAACCAAUGAAGAAAGCACAAAGUCAAUUGAAGAUUUCCAAUACUGCAAGAGAUUAGAUGAUAGCUGCCAUAAUAAUUUCAAUAAUUUGGAAGUUUGGUGUGAGACACAGGAUAGUGUUGCUGAAGAUUCAAUUGCUUCAGUAGUCAGUUCAGAGUGUCCGGGGGGCACAGAUAGUGUCAAAGAGUGUGGAUCCAACUUUGUACCUACUAAUCAUCCAGCUAAAGCUCAACCAAAACCCCAAGUCACAAGUUUUAUACAAACGCCAAGUGUCAAGGAAUCAAAUACUGCUAUUGACAUUUUAACAACCAGUUUAACAAUAGAUGAUUUGGACAUGGAGGCAUUUUAUGCUAAUCUGGAUGCUGAGACCACAGUUCCUUCACCUCUCAAUGACACCAGAAUGGUUCCGGAAUUGUCCAACAGAAUGCCACCAAGUGAAGAGACCCAGGAAGCAUUGAAGACACUUCAAGACUUUCUCACCAAAGACCUUUCUGUUCUGUUGGAACCUCAUCAGCACACUACCAUGAAAGCUACCUUAGACUAUCUCACCAAUUUACCAGCACAAGAAGGAAUACCAGUGGACACAAGGUCACUGAUAAUAGAGGUUUCAAGACAGUUCACUUGUUGGAGUUUGGAUUACACAGAAGAAAGUAGGAAAAUAGAGUCUACAACAGCCAAAUUGCUGAAAGCUGAUGAACUUAAAGAAGGUCUUGAAGCUAACAAGAACUGUUUCAGGGAAGUCAUGUACUUGGAAAAUGAGUUGUGCAAUGAGUUGGCCUAUUUGGAGGAAAGAAAGAAGGAGCUAGAAGAACUGAUAAAUACUGUCAAAGCUAACAUCUCUGCUUCACAAGAGGCCAGGAACAUGGCUGUUCAUACAAAGAGAGAAAUCUUUGGGGAAGCAAGGAUUUUAAAAGCUCAAAGAGAUGAGUUAGGGGAACAUGUACCAGGAUUGAGAAAGUUUGUAUCUUGAGAAAUGACGUUUUUAGUCCACUACCGUUACAUCUGCUAGGGUUUUGGGCUUCGAUCGUCCUCAUCAUUCUCUAUACGUGAACAACUUGGCAUCGACUGCUUCUUCUACAACACUUCCCAAAAAGCAGUGGAGGAAACUUUGGAAGUUGGAUACUUUUCGAGGUUAAAAGAAACAGUGUGGAUGACUUGUCUUGAGCUUAUUUCAGUGCGUGCUUUUCUUGAUUGUCGUGGUAUUGAUCUGAACCAUUAUUGUCCUUGGUGUGCUUCAGAGCUUGAAACUGUUCAACACACUUUGUUGUUCUAUAAUGCUAGGAAUUGUUUUCUCUUCCAUAAGGACUUGAUCAGUUUAUGGAUUCUACGCUCCAACGUGCUACUUCGUUGCGUCCUUUUCUCGUGGCAUCGCAGACAACCACUUUUCCUCAUUCUCCAGCGAUUCGAGGGCUUUGUUGGCGUCUUUGCUGGGGAGUUUACAAGCUCAACUUUGACACAUUUGUUUCAAAGGUGAGCUUGCCAUAUUUUCGGUGUGUUGUUCGUGAUUUUAACAACGAUGUGUUGGCAACUGUGACUUCACCUGCAACUAAUGUCCUUUCACUAGCCAUUACUAAAGAUCUUUUGUUCAGAUUGUCCUUUGCAUUGGUUUCAGAACUUGUCUAAAAUUACAUAUAGGUGGUAGGGGCCGCGUUAUUGAUGUGAAAUGGCUCCACAAAAAGGGGGGUCUUUGGUUUUAUCAACUUUGCUGUGAGACAGAUUAUCUCCAA
Molecule: RNA transcript, 5116 nt
Organism: Lotus japonicus
Lineage: Eukaryota; Viridiplantae; Streptophyta; Magnoliopsida; Fabales; Fabaceae
Gene name: TMV resistance protein N-like
Exons: 7
Source: RefSeq, a predicted model, not a curated record